RNAcentral lists this ribosomal RNA (674 nucleotides) under Paenibacillus sp. H-VRE-66. RNAcentral's name for it is "bacterial SSU rRNA". It matches the Rfam family "Bacterial small subunit ribosomal RNA", at positions 46 to 700 of the family's 1533-position model. Lineage: Bacteria; Bacillati; Bacillota; Bacilli; Caryophanales; Paenibacillaceae. The record is from RNAcentral.
GCCUAAUACAUGCAAGUCGAGCGGACCUGAUGGAGUGCUUGCUCUCCUGAUGGUUAGCGGCGGACGGGUGAGUAACACGUAGGCAACCUGCCCGUAAGACCGGGAUAACUACCGGAAACGGUAGCUAAUACCGGAUAAUCAAGUCUCUCGCAUGAGAGGCUUGGGAAAGGCGGAGCAAUCUGUCACUUACGGAUGGGCCUGCGGCGCAUUAGCUAGUUGGUGGGGUAACGGCUCACCAAGGCGACCAUGCGUAGCCGACCUGAGAGGGUGAACGGCCACACUGGGACUGAGACACGGCCCAGACUCCUACGGGAGGCAGCAGUAGGGAAUCUUCCGCAAUGGACGAAAGUCUGACGGAGCAACGCCGCGUGAGUGAUGAAGGUUUUCGGAUCGUAAAGCUCUGUUGCCAGGGAAGAACGUCUUCUGGAGUAACUGCYAGGAGAGUGACGGUACCUGAGAAGAAAGCCCCGGCUAACUACGUGCCAGCAGCCGCGGUAAUACGUAGGGGGCAAGCGUUGUCCGGAAUUAUUGGGCGUAAAGCGCGCGCAGGCGGCUGUUUAAGUCUGGUGUAUAAUCCUGGGGCUCAACUCCGGGUCGCACUGGAAACUGGACGGCUUGAGUGCAGAAGAGGAGAGUGGAAUUCCACGUGUAGCGGUGAAAUGCGUAGAGAUGUG